AGUCGCCGCGGUAAUACAGAGGGUGCAAGCGUUAAUCGGAAUUACUGGGCGUAAAGCGCGCGUAGGUGGUUUGUUAAGUUGGAUGUGAAAGCCCCGGGCUCAACCUGGGAACUGCAUCCAAAACUGGCAAGCUAGAGUACGGUAGAGGGUGGUGGAAUUUCCUGUGUAGCGGUGAAAUGCGUAGAUAUAGGAAGGAACACCAGUGGCGAAGGCGACCACCUGGACUGAUACUGACACUGAGGUGCGAAAGCGUGGGGAGCAAACAGGAUUAGAUACCCCGGUAGUCCCUGUCUCUUAUACA
This 301-nucleotide ribosomal RNA is filed under the name uncultured bacterium. Its description in RNAcentral is "partial 16S ribosomal RNA". It matches the Rfam family "Bacterial small subunit ribosomal RNA", at positions 510 to 808 of the family's 1533-position model. The record is from RNAcentral.